AACGCGAAGAACCUUACCCAGACUUGACAUGCAGAGGACGAGUAUAGAGAUAUACUUUCCCUUCGGGGCUUCUGCACAGGUGCUGCAUGGCUGUCGUCAGCUCGUGCCGUGAGGUGUUUGGUUAAGUCCAGCAACGAGCGCAACCCUUAUCAUUAGUUGCCAACAUGUUAUGGUGGGAACUCUAGUGAGACUGCCUGGGUUAACCAGGAGGAAGGUGAGGAUGACGUCAAGUCCGCAUGGCCCUUAUGUCUGGGGCUACACACGUGCUACAAUGGUCGGUACAGAAGGCAGCGAAACCGCGAGGUGGAGCAAAUCCCUAAAACCGAUCCCAGUUCAGAUUGUAGUCUGCAACUCGACUACAUGAAGUUGGAAUUGCUAGUAAUGGCGAGUCAGCUACAUCGCCGUGAAUACGUUCCCGGGCCUUGUACACACCGAGACGAC
Molecule: ribosomal RNA, 441 nt
Filed under: uncultured bacterium
Lineage: Bacteria
Description: bacterial SSU rRNA
Rfam family: Bacterial small subunit ribosomal RNA
Source: RNAcentral